GACGAACGCUGGCGGCGUGCCUAAUACAUGCAAGUCGAACGCUUCUUUCCUCCCGAGUGCUUGCACUCAAUUGGAAAGAGGAGUGGCGGACGGGUGAGUAACACGUGGGUAACCUACCCAUCAGAGGGGGAUAACACUUGGAAACAGGUGCUAAUACCGCAUAACAGUUUAUGCCGCAUGGCAUAAGAGUGAAAGGCGCUUUCGGGUGUCGCUGAUGGAUGGACCCGCGGUGCAUUAGCUAGUUGGUGAGGUAACGGCUCACCAAGGCCACGAUGCAUAGCCGAACUGAGAGGGUGAUCGGCCACACUGGGACUGAGACACGGCCCAGACUCCUACGGGAGGCAGCAGUAGGGAAUCUUCGGCAAUGGACGAAAGUCUGACCGAGCAACGCCGCGUGAGUUAAGAAGGUUUUCGGAUCGUAAAACUCUGUUGUUAGAGAAGAACAAGGACGUUAGUAACUGAACGUCCCCUGACGGUAUCUAACCAGAAAGCCACGGCUAACUACGUG
This 508-nucleotide ribosomal RNA is filed under the name uncultured bacterium. RNAcentral's name for it is "partial 16S ribosomal RNA". It matches the Rfam family "Bacterial small subunit ribosomal RNA", at positions 28 to 507 of the family's 1533-position model. The record is from RNAcentral.